GACGAACGCUGGCGGCGUGCCUAAUACAUGCAAGUAGAACGCUGAAGAGAGGAGCUUGCUCUUCUUGGAUGAGUUGCGAACGGGUGAGUAACGCGUAGGUAACCUGCCUUGUAGCGGGGGAUAACUAUUGGAAACGAUAGCUAAUACCGCAUAACAAUGGAUGACACAUGUCAUUUAUUUGAAAGGGGCAAUUGCUCCACUACAAGAUGGACCUGCGUUGUAUUAGCUAGUAGGUGAGGUAAUGGCUCACCUAGGCGACGAUACAUAGCCGACCUGAGAGGGUGAUCGGCCACACUGGGACUGAGACACGGCCCAGACUCCUACGGGAGGCAGCAGUAGGGAAUCUUCGGCAAUGGGGGCAACCCUGACCGAGCAACGCCGCGUGAGUGAAGAAGGUUUUCGGAUCGUAAAGCUCUGUUGUAAGUCAAGAACAGGUGUGAGAGUGGAAAGUUCACACUGUGACGGUAGCUUACCAGAAAGGGACGGCUAACUACGUG
This 497-nucleotide ribosomal RNA is filed under the name uncultured bacterium. RNAcentral's name for it is "partial 16S ribosomal RNA". It matches the Rfam family "Bacterial small subunit ribosomal RNA", at positions 28 to 507 of the family's 1533-position model. The record is from RNAcentral.